This is a long non-coding RNA of Parus major (Great Tit), 752 nucleotides long. RefSeq lists it as uncharacterized. NCBI's taxonomy places the organism in Eukaryota, Metazoa, Chordata, Aves, Passeriformes, Paridae. The transcript has 3 exons. The record is from RefSeq and is a predicted model, not a curated record.
ACAGCCCUUACCGUGCCGAGCCGUGCCCACCAGCCCUCUUCUCUUCUCCGCUUCUCUCCGCUCGCCCGGGUGCAGCCACCGUCAGCAGGAUCGGGUAUUUCAGACAAAAUACAAGAACAAUAAAAUGAUCAACAAAACUUUCAAGUACAAGAUUCGGUGAGUUUAGGUGGCCAUGAGCAGCUUAGGAGCCACAGAAGAGAGAAGCCAUGACUGACACAUCUCCCGGGGUAAAAUCAAGCAUGACCUUCAACUGAAAGACUUCUGACUCCAGCUGCCAUGCUCUCUCAUGUGUUGUGUUUUGCAUCACAUGAGAUGUGAUGCUGGCUUCUGUUCCUCCUUGGGGACCCCAAUAACAUUUCUCCUUUUUGCCCGACUACUGUUUCCACCAAAUGUCCAAGUAGGUUAGAUAUUGGCAUAUAUCUACUGGUAUGUGACUAUUUCAUCUCACUAUUCAUCUUCCUUCUAACCCUGCUCACCAUUUGCUAAUUCUGCCUUUCCAGUCCUUUAGCUGGAUGGGCGAAAGAAGCAUCAGCUUUAGCCAGUCUGUGGCUGACCAGGUGACCACAGCACCUGUGAGCAUGUGGAAAAUUACACAGAAGUCACAAUUAAUGAAACGUUGUAUAGUGGCCAGUGGAACAAAUUGGCCCAAUCCAGUCAAUGAGCCCUGUGGCCACAGAAAGUAACAAACUGUAACACUUUUCUCAGGAGUAUGUAUAUCCUUGCUAAUAAAUACUUGUACCAUCUUGAGCCAA